RNAcentral lists this long non-coding RNA (1133 nucleotides) under Pan troglodytes (chimpanzee). RNAcentral's name for it is "long non-coding RNA NONPTRT003427". The record is from RNAcentral. Lineage: Eukaryota; Metazoa; Chordata; Mammalia; Primates; Hominidae.
UUGGCAACCUGCUCGGGUCCCCUUCCACACUGUGGAAGCUUUGUUCUUUCACUCUUUGCAAUAAAUCUUGCUACUGCUCGCUCUUUGGGUCCAUGCUGCUUUUAUGAGCUGUAACACUCACCGCGAAGAUCUGCAGCUUCACUCCUGAGCCCAGCAAGACCACGAGCCCACCGGGAGGAACGAACAACUCCAGACGCGCUACCUUAAGAGCUGUAAUACUCACUGUGAAGGUCUGCAGCUUCACUCCUGAGCCAGCGAGACCACGAACCUACCAGAAGGAAGAAACUCCGAACACAUCUGAACAUCAGAAGGGACAGACUCCAGACGUGCUGCCUUACGAGCUGUAACACUCACCGCGAGGGUCCGCGGCUUCAUUCUUGAGUUGCCAGAAUCAAAAUGGAGUCACUAAUGUUUAAAGAAAGAAGAGCCCUGACAAAUCGAGCCACAGAAGGCCAUGAAGAGAAGGUUCUUUAUGCUUGUAUGCCUCACAAAAAAGACUCUGGAAAAAUCGUAUCCUUGCACAGAAGCCACCAGAAAUUUCCAUAAAAAACACUGCAAGAACAUCUGCCCCCGAACUGCCUGUCCAACCUGGACUGACAUCAUCCUUGUUAUUGAUCUUUGUAGCCAAAUAUAAUUAUUUUAAAACAAUUGUGCAAUUCGCCUCUUUUCUUUAAAAAUCUUUGUCUUCCUUUACCUCCCUGAAUAUGCACAUAGUUUACUAUGACGGGUAUAUUCUCAUUGCAAUACUCUAUUCCCAAAUAAAUGUCUUUUUCUUUUAGAGAGCCUCCCUUUGUUAUUUAGGUUGACUUAUAUGGUGUCACUUGAAAGUGAUGUCUGGAUCCGCAGCAACCAUCUUACAACCUUGAAGUGACAAGCUGGAAGAAAAGGCCAGAAGAUGCACAUAGAGUUUAAUCCUGACAGAGAUGAGUUACUGAAGCAAUGCCAGUGACCUCCUAUCCGCUAAUUUACUAUUACUUAACAAACUUUUUUCUUUUUUUUUUUUGAGACAGGGUCUCGCUCUGUCACCCAGGCUGGAGUGCAGUGUUGUGAUCUCAGCUCACUGCAAACUCCAUCUCCCAGGUUCAAGCGAUUCUCAUGCUUCAGCCUCCUGAUUAGCUGGGAUUACAGGUGCG